RNAcentral lists this ribosomal RNA (439 nucleotides) under uncultured bacterium. RNAcentral's name for it is "partial 16S ribosomal RNA". It matches the Rfam family "Bacterial small subunit ribosomal RNA", at positions 339 to 795 of the family's 1533-position model. The record is from RNAcentral.
CUACGGGUUGCUGCAGUAGGGAAUAUUGGGCAAUGGGCGCAAGCCUGACCCAGCAACGCCGCGUGCGCGAAGAAGGCCUUCGGGUCGUAAAGCGCUUUUCUGAGGGAUGAGAAAGGACAGUACCUCAGGAAUAAGCCUCGGCUAACUACGUGCCAGCAGCCGCGGUAAAACGUAGGAGGCGAGCGUUAUCCGGAUUUACUGGGCGUAAAGCGGGUGCAGGCGGUCUGGCAAGUUGGAUGUGAAAGCUCCCGGCGCAACUGGGAGAGGUCGUUCAAAACUACCGGACUAGAGUGUACAGAGGGAGAUGGAAUUCCCGGUGUAGUGGUGAAAUGCGUAGAUAUCGGGAGGAACACCAGUGGCGAAAGCGAUCUUCUGGGAUACUACUGACGCUCAGACACGAAAGCUAAGGUAGCGAACGGGAUUAGAUACCCCAGUAGUC